This 1418-nucleotide long non-coding RNA is filed under the name Homo sapiens (human). Its description in RNAcentral is "PREDICTED lncRNA (TCONS_00189576)". Lineage: Eukaryota; Metazoa; Chordata; Mammalia; Primates; Hominidae. The record is from RNAcentral.
UCAGAUGUUGGUUAAUUAGUAAUAUAGGGAUACUCCACUUGUUAUUGCGACUUUGAUCUAAACAGCUCUGUAAAGCCCAUUUUCACAUUUUUAAAAUAAUAUGCUUUAGCAGCAGGUGAGGAAAACUUAAGGCAUGGCACAUUUAUUGGAAAAGCAGCAGUGGGCGGCUUGGUUUAAUGGCAACACCACUAGAUAACUGUCUAAGGCCCUUUCCAGAUCCAAUGGUCAAGGUAACAGCAGAAACAAAGAAAAUCUCAGAGGUCUCUUCUUAUGUCUCUGCUAACAAUAAAAAGAACAGCUUUUGGGGAAGUGGGCUGCUUUAUCCUGUAGCCCUCCUCAGAUGCCAAGACUGCUGGGCUGGCCACCAGACUCACGUCCUCAAGAGAGUGUCUCACUAUGUUGCCCAGGCUGGUCUCAAAUUCCUGGCCUCAAGCAAUCUUCCCACUUCAGCCUCCCAAAGUGCUGGGACUACAGGCACAUGCCACCAUGCCCAGCCGCAAGUGUUUAUCCCCAUUCCAUAGGGGGUGAAACUGAGGCACAAAAAGAGGAAAUCACCAUCAGGAUAUGCCACUGCAGAGAGAUAUAAGAUGAGAGUAAUUCAGCUUCAUGGGUUAUUUUCAAAAAGUAAGGAAGAAACUGCAACAAGAACUGAAUCACGCUUUACUACAGCAUUGCCUUCUACUUCCUCCACCAGCCAACUGGGAGAUGAACUUUUAUGAGGAGCAGUAUUGAUGGAUUUAAGUUUUCAAUUUUAUGUCAUUUUGUGCUUUCUGGAGGCGGUACAGUGAGCUUGGAAGUUUUUGCCCUGGUAGAGGUGGAGACGAUAUAGCCCAGAAGUUCAGACUGGAGUCAAAGGUUCCGAGUUCAAAGCCCACCCAGCUACUUAUUAACUGAAUGACCCUUAGCGAAGUUGCUUUAACUUUCCUGAUUCAGCUCCUUCAUCUAAACUCUCAGAAUUGUUAGAUCAGUCAUGCUUCUGAACAUGGUGACAGUGAUAGUUUGUGACUGCUGAAACCAGAUCAUAGCAUGCCUUUCUUAGGAAUGCUUGCUCUUGGAAGCCAGCCACCAUGCUGUGAGGAAGAGCAAGCAACACAUGGAGAGGCCACUGUUCCAGCCAACAGCCCCAGCUGAGGUCCCAGCUGACAGGCCGCAUCAAAUCGCCAAGGAUGUGAACAAGUAAAAUGACAAUGGUGGACGUCUCAUUCAUCCUGGAAGACUGACAGAGGAGACAGCUUCAAGGCAAGCAGGGCUUUGGCCAUUUCCCCAGCCCAUCAACCAGCCAAUCACAAAAUCAAAAAACUAGAUACUACAUGGCAACUAACCUUUAAGAAACUACUGCUUGUCAAAUUUUGUUGUAGUAUCAAAGAAGAAUAUCCAUAAUUAUCUGAAAAGGCUAUUAAAAUACUCUUUGCCAAUUA